RNAcentral lists this ribosomal RNA (426 nucleotides) under uncultured bacterium. Its description in RNAcentral is "partial 16S ribosomal RNA". It matches the Rfam family "Bacterial small subunit ribosomal RNA", at positions 354 to 796 of the family's 1533-position model. The record is from RNAcentral.
GUGAGGAAUUUUCCGCAAUGGGCGAAAGUCUGACGGAGCAAUGCCGCGUGAAGGAUGAAGGCCUAUGGGUUGUAAACUUCUUUUCUCAGAAAAGAAUUAUGACGGUAUCUGAGGAAUAAGCAUCGGCUAACUCUGUGCCAGCAGCCGCGGUAAGACAGAGGAUGCAAGCGUUAUCCGGAAUGAUUGGGCGUAAAGCGUCUGUAGGUUGUUUAAAAAGUAUUCUGUCAAAGAUUAGGGCUUAACCCUAGAUAGGCAGAAUAAACUUUUAAGCUAGAGUUUGGUAGAGGCAGAGGGAAUUCCCGGUGGAGCGGUGAAAUGCGUAGAUAUCGGGAGGAACACCAAAGGCGAAGGCACUCUGCUGGGCCAAUACUAACACUGAGAGACGAAAGCGAGGGGAGCAAAUGGGAUUAGAUACCCCGGUAGUCC